This 33673-nucleotide long non-coding RNA is filed under the name Gossypium raimondii (Peruvian cotton). Its description in RNAcentral is "long non-coding RNA (GRAI_LNC005964)". Lineage: Eukaryota; Viridiplantae; Streptophyta; Magnoliopsida; Malvales; Malvaceae. The record is from RNAcentral.
UGCCUUCAAGCUUCCAACCAGACAAUCUUGUCGCACUUCUUUUACCAUAUAAUCACAUUGAACAAUUGUAGAAGGGAAAUAAAGUAAGAAUUAACUCAUCAUUUUAACUUAUUAAGAAUUAACUCAUCAUUUUAACUUAUUUUCAUAAAAAUUAUUAAACUUUGAUUAAGGUAAAAAAAAACAAAAAAACAAAAAUGAGCAUUAUUAUGUUUUCUCAUUUGUUUCUAAUUUAUCAUGGCCUUCGACGGCCCUUGUAUAAGUUGAAAAUGAUGAACCUCAAAGGGUUCCAAAAUCUGAUCAAGACACCAGACUUCACAACAGCAUCAAAUCUUGAAGUUUUGAUUUUGGAAGGUUGUACCAAAUUCGUGGAUAUUCAUCUAUCCAUCGGAGUGCUUAAGAGCCUUAAACUUUUGAAUUUAAGAGAUUACAAAAGUCUUAGGACUCUUCCGACCAAAAUUCGAAUGGAAUCUCUUGAAACAUUAAUUCUUUCGGGUUGCUCGAGUCUUAUAAGGUUUCCGGAGAUUAAUGGGAAAAUGGAACGUCCAAACACUCUUUAUGUUUAUAGAAUUGAAAAUUUAUCAGAGAAUUGGCAGCAAGCAAAGUUUUUGAAAGAGCUCGACUUGAGUGAAACAGCCAUAACAGAACCACCAUCCUUCAUUUUCCAAUUUAAAAAUCUUAAAGUUCUGUCUUUCAAUGGAUGCAAAAGAUCAUCUAAGUUACAACAAAAUCUUCCUUCUCUUUUCAAGUUAAUCGAAGAGGAAGGACAAACUCCAUGGCUCCGAUGUUACCUUCGUUGUCAGGUUUGAGUUCCUUAAGAAAGUUAAAGCUAAGGGACUGCAAUCUUGGCGAAGGAGAUAUUCCACGUGAUAUUUCUUGCCUAUCCUCCUUGACAGAUCUUGGUCUUAGUGGUAACAAUUUCAUCAACAUACCUGCAUCUAUUAUUCGAUUUUCCAAGCUUCAUUCUAUUAGAUUGUCACUUGUCAGAUUGCAAGAUGCUUAAAUCGUUGCCUGAGCUACCAAGUAUAAAAGAGGUGUGGAUAGAUGGUUGUUCUUCACUUGAAGUAGUUCCAAGUCCAUUAAUAUGCAAUCCAGUGUACGGCGCUACCGUUAAAGCCAUUAGCUGCUUCAAAUUGGCUGAGAAUAUCAAUGCAUUAACACUGCUGGAAAAACAUCUUAAGGUCGAUUACUCUAUUUUUUCUCCCUUAGAAAAUCUCAUACUUGAGAAUUUAUGGUUUUAGUUGCCAAACGACUUGUGUUUUAUUUUGCAGGCAUUUGCAAAUUCAAGAAAACCGUUUGAUAUUGUUAUGCCCGGAAGUGAAAUCCCAGAAUGGUUUGGCCAACAAAAAAGUGGCUCUUCAAUUUAGGUACCCUAACCUAUCAACCUUCGGAAUGAUAGUCAAUGGAUUGGAGUUGCUUGUUGCUGCAUUUUUGUCGAUAAUGAUGCUUCAAGCGAGAUUAUCAGUUGUAAUGGAUCUAUCUUGUAUAGAAAUUUUCAACAAGCCACCCAUAAAUUAUAUCGAGGUAAAAUUUCUCUAAAUUUUGCUUGGAGUAACUCGUCGGUGGAUAGAGGAUUUCACCUGCCCAUAAUUAAAUAUCAUCUUUUUCUUUGUUUUUGGCGGAUAAAGCAUAUAUUAUAUCCAAUUUCCAUGGAGGAUAAAUAUGGUGACUGUAAAACCAAUAAUUUAUGGACAAUAAAUUGCUUAGAUAAAAAAUACGAUGAGCUCCGGAUGUCUUUCUCAGGUAGAUCUAGAGGCGGUAAGGUGAAGAUCAAGUGUGGUAUUAGAAUAGUGUAUGAGAAAGAUUUGGAAGAAAUAAAAGAGUUGCAGUGACAUACCACUCAAUCUUCUCCCAAUUUUGAACACAUCCGCCAACACUCUGCUCAAAACUGAUGAAAAAAAUUUUCAAUUUUAUAAUGGGCCAAUCGGGAAAGAAGCAUUAACUGUGGUAAACUACUUAACCAACCUUGUCCUAUUAAUUGUUAUUUUUUUACACAUCUUUUAUAUAAUUUAAUCAUUCUAGACUUAUUUACAUUCCUUCGUAUAUAUCAAACAAAUUUGAAUUUUUUAUUCAUACUCAUAUUCAACAUGAGCUCAUUUUCUAUACAUAUCCCAAAUGUUGAUUACAUUCUUUAUACCAUUUAAAAUUUUAGUCACUUAAUUCAUUCCUUUUUACAUAAUUUAAAUGUGCACAUUUUAAUUGGUUUUCAUUUUUUUAUUUAUUAAAAUUUUAUUUUCAUUCUAGUAACAAAACCAUAGAAAUUUGAGAGGAGAUUUUCACCGCUUAAAAUGUCCCCAGUGUUUCACCUAAAACCUCUGGGAAAAGCUUGUAAAAUUACUUGUGGGAUUAAAACUUCAUUAGUCAGUAUAUCUCCUAGUCACUGUUCACUUUGACUUUGACAUUUCGUGUAUCAACUCUUUGAUUCCUGAAAUUAGGGAGAUUUGAAUAUAUACUUUUAUCCUUAAUUCCUCACUCUUUUAUUUUUAUUUAUUCAUCUAUAUAUCUUUGAUUAGUUUGAUUUUCGCGGAAAAGAAUUAUUGGAAUUUGGAAUCCAGGUCGCCGGUUCUGGAAGUAAUUCAGCUUGUCAAAUCCCAAAUGUUUAAGAUAUUUGAGAAAUUUGAGUAAAACACAAACUGUCUUUUGUCUACUCUCACCUUCUUGGAGUCUUCUCGGAAACAACAUCUAUAACCCCGAAUUUCCACACCUACUCCCUUUCAUUUCGAAUACUAAUGUUUUUAAUUAUUAUCUUUCAUUGUUAAGUACAUAAAAUGCAAACCGUCACCCGGCCCUCUUCUAUUUUUCAUAUGUUUUUCCUCAUAUAUUCAUUAUUUUCUGAUUUUGAACACCAGAUUGAAAUAUCCUUCUCCUUUCAUACAUCCUCAUGUUGUCGUUACCUUCAACUUCUUCCUCCAUUUCUAGAAAAAAAUAUGAUGUUUUCUUGAGUUUCAGAGGUGAAGAUACCCGCAACAACUUUACCGAUCAUCUCUAUGAUGCUCUAAGUAGGAGUGGGAUCGUCACUUUCAGAGAUGAUCCAAAGCUGGAGGCCGGCGAAGAGAUCGCACCUGAACUCUUUAAAGCAAUUCACCAAUCAUGGUGCUCAGUAAUCGUUUUUUCACAAACUUAUGCCUUUUCAAGUUGGUGCUUGGAGGAGCUUGCUGAGAUUGUUAAACAACAUAACAACGACGGCCAUAAAGUGUUUCCAAUUUUUUANNNNNNNNNNNNNNNNNNNNNNNNNNNNNNNNNNNNNNNNNNNNNNNNNNNNNNNNNNNNNNNNNNNNNNNNNNNNNNNNNNNNNNNNNNNNNNNNNNNNNNNNNNNNNNNNNNNNNNNNNNNNNNNNNNNNNNNNNNNNNNNNNNNNNNNNNNNNNNNNNNNNNNNNNNNNNNNNNNNNNNNNNNNNNNNNNNNNNNNNNNNNNNNNNNNNNNNNNNNNNNNNNNNNNNNNNNNNNNNNNNNNNNNNNNNNNNNNNNNNNNNNNNNNNNNNNNNNNNNNNNNNNNNNNNNNNNNNNNNNNNNNNNNNNNNNNNNNNNNNNNNNNNNNNNNNNNNNNNNNNNNNNNNNNNUUAAAAUUUCUUUUUCUUUAGGCAUGAAUCAGAAUUUAUUAAAGACAUUGUCAAGAAGAUAUCAGCAAAACUAUGUCAGACAUAUCCAGCUACUCAUAGCGACUUGGUUGGAAUUAGUAAACGUUUGGAGGAUUUAUAUUUGAAAAUAAACAUUGGGGAAGAUGAUGUCCGAGUUAUAGGAAUUUGCGGAAUGGGUGGUAUCGGUAAAACGACACUCGCAAGAGCUGCUUACACUCAAAUGUCAUCUCAUUUUGAAGGUAAAAGCUUUAUUGCUGAUAUUCGAGAAGUUUCAGACAAAUGCGGACUAGUUUCUUUACAGAAACAACUUCUUUCACAGAUCUUUCAUGGUGAAUGCUUCAACUUUUUCGAUGUUCAUGAAGGGAGCGACAUAAUUAGCCAUAGGUUGUCUCACAAAAAGGUUCUUGUUGUUCUUGAUAAUGUUGAUAACAUACAACACUUAAAAUGCUUGGUUGGAAGGCACGAUUGGUUCGGAUUAGGAAGUAGAAUCGUUGUAACAACAAGAGAAGAACAUUUGCUUCGAUCUUGGCCAGUUGAUGAUAUGUAUGAGCCCACAACAUUGAAUCCCAAAGAUGCGCUUCAACUUUUCAGUCUGAAAGCUUUUCAUAGUGAUACAGUGCAGAAAGAUGAUUUCAUUGAGCUUUCUAAACAUGUUGUAAAUUAUGCUGGCGGACUCCCUUUAGCUCUUGAAGUUUUGGGUUCCUUCUUGUGCGGUAGAGAUGCGACUCAAUGGAGAAGUGCGAUUGAAAGACUUAAAAGAGAUUCUAAUAAAGAAAUUUUCGAUAAACUUCGAAUCAGUUUUGAUGGACUGGAAGAAAGGGAGAAGAAUAUAUUUUUAGAUAUAGCAUGCUUCUUCAAUGGGGAGAAUAAAGAUUUUGUAAUCAAAGUAUUGGAUGGUUGUGAGUUUUUUCCUGAUAUUGGAAUUGAUGUUCCCGUUAAAAAAUCUCUCGUAAAAGUCGAUAAACACAACAAAAAUUUGAAGAUGCAUGACUUGUUACAAGAGAUGGGAAGAACAAUUGUUAGAGAAAAAUGUAUUGAUGAACCUGGAAAACGUUGCAGAUUGUGGGAGGAAAGAGACGUCCAUCAUGUCCUAACAAAAAACACUGUAAGUCAUUCAACAAUAGUUACAUACUUUUUUUUUCUAUCCUACAUUAUUCACCAUUUAUUUUAUUUUCUUAUUAUCUGUCGUUGAUCUUUUUUAGGCUACAAAAUUGGUUGAAGGCAUAAUCAUUGAUAUUAAAAGGUAAGAAGACACACAUAAACUUAUAUCUAUGUGUACUGUAAAUAAUUAUUAUUUUUAAAUAUGAUAAAAAAAACUAUAACAAAACUUUUGACAUUCAAUAUUUCAAUGUUUAAUUAUGAAAUUUAUCUAGCAACAUAUUUACUUUUUCAAAAGAGAAAUGUAUGUAUUUUUGAAAUAUUAAUGGUAUAUUUUUUUGUGAAAAUUAAUGCUAUAUAUUUAAUGUACUAAAAGUGUAUAUCAACAAAUUAAAUUAUAACAUGUCAUCAAAAUUUUUUUAAUGAAAAUGGUUUUUUUUAAUUAUGUGUCAUUGUUUGGUUCAUUAACUUGUAAAUUAUGCAUUGUUUGCGGACCAAAUAUAAAUCAACAUAUUAAUUCAAUUUUUUAGGAUUAGGUAAUUUAACAUUGGAUGUGAUUGUUAGAUAUAAGUAUCUCUUUAAUAUGGGUAUAUUCAAAAAAAAUUUAAAAAUUAUUUUUUUCACGUAUUUAAAAAGGUUCUUAAAGGAUCAUAUCUUAAUACCCAUAUACGAAUGUGCAUUAGAUAUAAGUAUUGGAUACGAGUACUUAAAAAACAAUAUCGAUGCAACAUUUCUUUUAGAUAUUGAAUGCUUUUGUAUAUUUUGAAGCUCAUUUUUGUUUUGCUCAUGGACAUUAGGGAAUCGAACAAGAUGCUCAAUUUGAGUGUGGAUAGCUUCUUGAAGAUGAAAAAACUGAGAUUGCUCAAAGUGCUUUGCCUUUCAAAUUGUGAUGAUCUUAAAUAUCUUUCUAAUGAAUUACGAUUUUUAGAUUGGACAGGAUACCCUUUAAGAUACUUGCCUUCAAGCUUUCAACCGAACAACCUUAUUGCGCUUCUUUUACCAUAUAGUCACAUUCAACAACUAUGGAAGGGAAAUAGAGUAAGAAUUUACUCAUCUUAUCCUUGUGUUUUAGCUUAUUUUAAUAUAAAUUAUUAAAAUUUGAUUAAGGUAAAACAAAAAAAAAAAAAGAAGCAAAAAUGAGCAUUAUUAUGUUUUCUCAUUUAUUUCUAAUUUAUUAUGGUCUUCAACAGCCCUUGUUUAACAUGAAAAUAAUGAACCUCAGAGGGUCUCAAAACCUGAUCAAGACACCAGACUUCACAACAGCAUCAAAUCUUGAAGUUUUGAUUUUGGAAGGUUGUACCAAAUUAGUGGAUGUUCAUCCAUCAAUCCGGAUGCUUAAGAGCCUUAAACUUUUGAAUUUAAGAGAUUGCAAAAGUCUUACGACUCUUCCAACCAAAAUCGGAAUGGAAUCUCUAGAAACAUUAAUUCUUUCGGGUUGCUCAAGUCUUGUAAGGUUUCCGGAGAUUGAUGGGAAAAUGGAACGUUUAAAAACUCUAAAUCUUUCCGGUUGUUAUAGAGUGGAAAAUUUAUCGGAGAAUUUGCAGCAAGCAAAGUUUUUGGAAGAGCUCGACUUGAGUGAAACAGCCAUAACAGAACCACCAUCCUUCAUUUUUCAAUUUAAAAAUCCUAAAGUUCUGUCUUUCAAUGGGCGCAAGGGACCAUCAUAUAAGUUACUACCAAAUUUGCCUUCUCUUUUCAAGGUAAUCCAAGGAAGAAGGACGAAUCCCAUGGCUCGGAUGUUGCCUUUGUUGUCAUGUUUGAGUUCUUUAAGAGAGCUAAAACUAAAGGACUGCAAUCUUUGUGAAGGAGAUAUUCCACGUGAUCUUUCUAGUCUAUCCUGUUUGGAAGAACUUGAUCUUAGUGGUAACAAUUUCAUCAGCAUACCUGCAUCUCUUACUCGACUCUCCAAGCUUGAAGAGCUUAGAUUGUCAAAUUGCAACAUGUGCACUCUUGGUGAAGCAGAUAUUCAUGGUCUAUCCUCUUUGAAACGACUUUUUCUUGACGGUAACAAUUUCAUCACCGUUCCUUCGGCUCUGACUCAACUUUCCAAGCUUAAAUUGCUUGCAUUAUCAAAUUGCAUGAAGCUUAACUCGUUGCCUGAGCUACCAACAAGUAUAGAAGAUGGGUGGCUAGAUAGUUGUUCUUCACUUGAAGUAGUUGCAAGUCCAUCAAAAGUAUGCAAUUUAGUGUGUUGUGGUGACAUUAGUGCCAUUAACUGCUUCAAAUUGGCUGAGAAAAUCAAUGUAUUAACACUGCUGAAAGAACAUAUUAAGGUCGAUUAAUCUAUUUUUUUCUCCCUUACAAAAUCUCAUACUUGAGAAUAUAUGGUUUUAGUUACCAAACGACUUGUGUUUUAUUUUGCAGGCAUUUCCAAAAUCAAGAAAAUUUUUUGAUGAUGGCUUCUUUGAUAUUAUGAUGCCCGGAAGUGAAAUCCCAGAAUGGUUUAGCCAACAAAAAAGUGACUCUUCAAUUAAGAUACCACUUCGGAAAGAUAGUGAAUGGAUUGGAGUUGCUUGUUGCUGCAUUUUUGUCAAUAAUGAUGCUUCAAGGAAUAAGGAGUCUAUCAGCUGUAAUGGAUCUAGAGUUUUUCGAGGUAGAAAUUGUAGACCAAUUGAUUGGAGAAACCGGUGGGUAGGUCGAUACUUUCGCAAGCCCAUAAUGAAAGAUCACCUUUUUCUUCGUUAUUUUCCGCGUGAUAAAUAUGGUGACUGUGAAACCAAUAAUUUAUGGACGACAGAUUGCUUAGAUCAAAUAUGCGAUGAGCCUGAGUUGUCUUUCAGUACCUUUUUUGGACCAAAUUACCGUUGUGUUAAGGUGAAGAAGUGUGGUGUUAGAAUAGUGUAUGAGAAAGAUUUGGAAGAAAUGAAAGAGUUGCAGUGCGAUACCACUCAAUCUUCUCCAAAUUUUGAGCACAUCCACCAACACUCUGCUCACAACCAUGGAUCAGUAGGUAGCACUUCUCACAUAAAACGGAAACGUAAUAUCUAUGAAGAAAUGGAGGAAGAAGAGCCGCAACCAAAACUGAUGCAAAAUUUUUUCAAUUUUGUAAUGGACCAAUCAAGAAAGAAGCAUUAACUGAGGUAAACUACUUAACCAACUUUGUCCUAUUAAUUUUUGUUUACACAUCUUGUAUUUCAUUUAAACAAUUCUUCUAGACUUGUUUUACAUAUGAGAUAUGAUCCUUCCAUUAUAUGCCAAAACAUUUUAAAAAAUUUUAUUCAUAUUCAUAUUCAACGUCUACAUAUCUCAAAUGUUGAUAACAUUGUUUUUUAUACCAUUUAAAAUUUUAGUCACUUAAUUCAUUCCUUUUUACAUAAUCGAAAUGUGUAUAUUUUGAUUGGUUUCAUCUUUUUUUUUUUUAUUAAAAUUUUAUUUUCAUUAUAUAUAUAUAUUCACUUACAUUUAUAUUUUAUUUAUAGGUUGAAGAUGAGGUAAAUUAAAACAAAAUUGUGAGACAAAAAUAAAGACGAAGCAAGUAAUGAUAAAAUGAAAACCCUUUAAUAAGGAUCAAUCAUAAUUUCAACUGAGUUAAAAAUUAUUUUAUUUUUAUUGGAGACCAACAUAUAUUUAAUCAGUCAAAACUGUUUUUAUGUAUUACUGAGCUUAGUGGAAGAAAAUGAUGGGAAAAUGAAAUACAGAUGCGAUCCUAAGCAACAAAUACAGCUUUGCAUGAGAACCUAAUCCCAUCACCAGACUAUUUUAAGUGCUUGGAACUUGAAAAUGAGAGCUCUUGUUUAUCCUGCUCUAUCUCCUGCGACUAAUGUAAAAGAGUUACAACAAUGCAUACACAAACAAAACGAAUAUGGCGGCCUUCAGCUUCAUCAAUACACUAAAUACGCCUAGGUGAUCAAGAUGGAGGGCUAUACUUAAGAUGUUGCUCAUUGAAGCUGAUUAACUGAAAGGGAAGGAAAAAAACAAAAGAAGUGCAAGAAUUGUCAGCUCUUUGAGUCAAUUUAAUGAAGGAAAAGAUCAGGCAAGAAAAUGAUCCAUUACCAGCAGUGGAUUGUUAGCUUGAAGAUAUUGGUUGUCCACCAGAACCUCUUUUCCAUCGGACCUGUCAAAAUGUGACAAACAAAAUUUAUCAUCGACAACAUGAACUUCAAGAAAGUGCAGCAUAAAUUUGAGGACUCUCAGAGACUCCAACAAAAGAAUCACAUCUAAGAUCAGCAAGCUAAAAAUUUUAGUUAUCUAGCAGUUCAUGUCCUAAAUUACUUGCUAUGUAAGGGGCCAUAAGUGAUAGCAUCAUCAAUUUCUGGGAAAUAAAAUCCUAGGGAAUGAAACAAAAAACUGUUAUUUGAAGGUAGAAAGAAUAUUCCGAAAGCCAAAAAGAAAUGUCUAUAUCAGGUCAUACAUACUCAAUCAGCACAUAGUGCUUAUGAAGUGUAGGACAUUCUCCCAAAUCGAGAACUAAAGAAAAACAUGAUGAUUUCUAAGAAACUACAUCCAAAAACAUGUGCAAACAUGAUAGUUACAACAUAAAAGAGUACAUAAAAUGCCCCAACAACCACCGAAACUCUAAAGAGCGACAUGAAAGUACAUUAAGUGCUCAUACAUCGCAACAUGAUAAGUUGAUAACUUUGACAUUUCGUGUAUCAACUCUUUGAUUCCUGAAAUUAGGCAGAUUAAUACUUUUAUCCUUAAUCCCUUACUCUUUUAUUUUUAUUUAUUCAUCUAUAUAUCUUUGAUUAGUUUGAUUUUCGUGGAAAAGAAUUAUUGGAAUUUGGAAUCCAGGUCGCUGGUUCUGGAAGUAAUUGAGCUUGUGCAAAUCCCAAAUGUUUAAGAUAUUUGAGAAAUUUGAGUGUCUUUUGUCUACUCUCACCUUCUUGGAGUCUUCCCGGGAACAACAUCUAUAACCCCGAAUUUCCACACCUACUCCCUUUCAUUUCGAAAACUAAUGUUUUUAAUUAUUGUCUUUCAUUGUCAAGUACAUAAAAUACAAACCGUCCAACAUUUUUAACUCUCACCUUCAUGGAAAGAACAUAUCACCCGGCCCUCUUCUAUUUUUCAUAUGUUUUUCCUCAUAUAUUCAUUCUUUUCUGAUUUUGAGCACCAGAUUGAAAUAUCCUUCGCCUUUCAUACAUCCUCAUGUUAUCGUUACCUUCAACUUCUUCCUCCAUUUCUAGAAAAAAAAAAUGAUGUUUUCUUGAGUUAAAUCGGAUUUGUAGUCGAAUUGGAUAGGUUAUUAGUUUGGUGGUCCAAUGAUUUAAAAAUUAUUAAAAUUUAAAAAAGUUAAAAUAGAGUUUCGAUUCAUUUAGUUUUUAACAGGUUGAAUCAGUUCGUAUCAAUUUUCAAUCUAAUCAAUUCAAAAUCACUCAUCGAACUAAUUCUUUGUCGGCUCUUGAUCUAAUCGAUCGUUCAAUCCGAUUCAAGCAAGACUGAAUCAAUAGAUAAAAGAUGAGAAUAAUUCUUAACAACAACCUGCAAACUAUGAGAUUAAUUAUAUCUCAAAUUGAUCCAACAUAAAACAGAUAACAUACUUACUUUGUCGGCCCCUAAUUUCCACCCCUAUGCUCAUAUACUUGCUUUUCUAGUUUCUUUGUGGGUAUUGGACGAUAUAUUUUCUGAUUUUUAACACCACAUUGAGAUAUUCUUCUCCUUUCAUACAUACUCAUGUUGUCCUUACCUUCAACUUCUUCCUCCAUUUCUAAAAAGAAAUAUGAUGUUUUCUUGAGUUUUAGAGGUGAAGAUACUCGCAACAACUUCACAGAUCAUGUUUAUGAUGCUACAACUAAUAGAAAAGUCAACAAUAUUAAUUAUAUGUCUAACUAAUAACAUUAUAAAAAUAUAUGAUUAAAUUAGGUUAGAAAUUAAAUCUUAAAUUUAGGCAUAAUUAAAAAAAAAACUAAAAUUGAAAUUCUAACAUUUUCUUAUAAUGUAAAAGAAACAAUAUCCUAUACAUUAAAUUAAUAAAUUGUAUUCAUACAUAAAAUUUUAUGAUACUGAGUAGAUAUAAGUUAUUUUAGUCUGCACCUAAUGAACAUUUUAGAUGCUUCAAAUAGAACUUAAUCAUAUAAAAGGCAAAAUGUGAGGGACCGAAUUUAAAAUAACGCAUUGUCCUCCCUGACAGGUGUCUCCAAAUACUUCUUUAAUAUAUAGUUAUAUAGACAAUUAUAUGAUUAUGUAAAUGAAAGUAAAAGACAAACCGUCCAACACUCUACUUAUUACUUAGAAUUAUUGUAGGCUCCAUUUUGUCUACACCCACCUUCUUGGAUUCUUCCUGGAAAGAACAUGCAUCACCCAAUGUCCACACCUACUCGUAUUCAUUUCGAAAAUGAAAAGGUUAAAAAGAUUAAAAGAAAUUGCUUAGAAACUUCCUUUAUUCUUCCCUGAAAUUUUCAUCUGUUUUUCUCAAUCUUCACUUUCAUAUACUUACUGUUUCUAAUUUCUUUCUGGCGUAUUGAGCGAUCAAUUUUCUGAUUUUGAACACUACAUCCACAUAUGUAUUUUUCUUCUCAAACAUCGUCAUGUUGUCAUUACCUUCAUCUUCCUCAUACAUUUCUAGAAAGAAAUAUGAUGUUUUCUUGAGUUUUAGAGGUGAAGAUACUCGCAAAAACUUCACCGAUCAUCUCUAUGCUGCUCUAAAGAGGAGUGGGAUCGUCACUUUCAGGGAUGAUCCCAAGCUGGAGGCCGGUGAAGAGAUCGCGCCAGAACUCUUUAAAGCAAUUCAGCAAUCAUGGUGCUCGGUAAUUGUUUUUUCAGAAACUUAUGCCUUUUCAAGUUGGUGCUUGGAGGAGCUUGCUGAGAUUGUUCAACAACAUAACAACGACGGCCAUAAAGUGUUUCCAAUUUUUUACGAUGUUGAUCCAUCUGAUUUAAGAAAACAAAAAGGGAAAGUGGAAGAAGCCUUUGCCAGACAUGAAGAGAGAUACAAAGAAGAAAGUGAGAAGAUCCAAAGGUGGCGAAAUGCUUUAAUUCAAGNNNNNNNNNNNNNNNNNNNNNNNNNNNNNNNNNNNNNNNNNNNNNNNNNNNNNNNNNNNNNNNNNNNNNNNNNNNNNNNNNNNNNNNNNNNNNNNNNNNNNNNNNNNNNNNNNNNNNNNNNNNNNNNNNNNNNNNNNNNNNNNNNNNNNNNNNNNNNNNNNNNNNNNNNNNNNNNNNNNNNNNNNNNNNNNNNNNNNNNNNNNNNNNNNNNNNNNNNNNNNNNNNNNNNNNNNNNNNNNNNNNNNNNNNNNNNNNNNNNNNNNNNNNNNNAAACAUAUCAACAAAAUUUUACUCAAAACAUUAAAAUUUCUUUUUUUUAGGCAUGAAUCAGAAAUUAUUAGAGACAUUGUUAAGAAGAUAUCAGCAAAACUAUGUCAGACAUAUCCAGUUACUCAUAGCGACUUGGUUGGUAUUAGUGAACGCUUGGAGGAUUUGUAUUUGAAAAUAAACAUUGGGGAAGAUGAUGUCCGCGUUAUAGGAAUUUGCGGAAUGGGUGGCAUCGGUAAAACGACACUCGCAAGAGUUGCUUACACUCAAAUGUCACCUCAUUUUGAAGGUAAAAGCUUUAUUGCCGAUAUUCGAGAAGUUUCAGACAAAUGCGGCCUAGUUUCUUUACAGAAACAACUUCUUUCACAGAUCUUUCAUGGUGAAUGCUUCAACUUUUUCAAUGUUCAUGAAGGAAAUAAAAUAAUUAGCCAUAGGUUGUCUCACAAAAAGGUUCUUGUUGUUCUUGAUAAUGUUGAUAACAUACAACACCUAAAAUGCUUGAUUGGAAGGCAUGAUUGAUUCGGAUUAGGUAGCAGAAUCAUUGUAACAACAAGAGACGAACAUUUGCUUCGAUGUUGCCAAGUUAAUGAUGUGUAUAUGCCCACAACACUUAAUCCCAAAGAGGCGCUUCAACUUUUCAGUCUGAAAGCUUUUCAUAGUGAUACAGUGCAUAAAGAUGAUUUCAUUGAACUUUCUAAACAUGUUGUAAAUUAUGCUGGUGGACUCCCUUUAGCUCUUGAAGUUUUGGGCUCCUUUUUGUGCGGUAGAGAUGCGACUCAAUGGAGAAGUGCGAUUGAAAGACUUAAAAGAGAUUCUAAUAAAGAAAUUCUCGAUAAACUUCGAAUCAGUUUUGAUGGACUGGAAGAAAGGGAGAAGAAUAUAUUUUUAGAUAUAGCAUGCUUCUUCAACGGGGAGAAGAAAGAUUUUGUAAUGAAAGUAUUAGAUGGUUGUGAGUUUUUUCCCGAUAUUGGAAUUGAUGUUUUCAUUAAGAAAUCUUUAAUAAAAGUCAAUGAUGUCAACCAAUAUUUGUGGAUGCAUAGUUUGUUGCAAGAAAUGGGAAGAAAAAUUGUUAGAGAAAAAUGUGUUGAUGAACCUGGAAAACGUUGCAGAUUGUGGGAGGGAAGUGACGUCCAUCAUGUCCUAACAAAAAACACUGUAAGUCAUUCAACAAAAGUCACAUACUAUUUCUUUUCUAUCCUACAUUAUUCACCAUUUAUUUUAUUUUCUUAUUGUCUGUUCUUAAUCUUUUUUAGGCUACAGAAAUGAUUGAAGCCAUAAUCAUCGAUAAUAAAAAGUAAGAAGACACACAUAAACUUAUAUCUAUGUGUACUGUAAAUAAUUAUUAUUUUUAAAUAUGAUAAAAAAACUAUAGCAAAACUUUUGACAUUUAAUAUUUCAAUGUUCAAUUAUGAAAUUUAUCAACUAACAUAUUUACUUUUUCAAAAGAAUCAAAAGAGAAAUGUAUGUAUUUUUGAAAUAUUAAUGGUAUAUAUAUAUUUUUUGUGAAUAUUAAUGGUAUAUAUUUAAUGUACUAAAAGUGUAUAUCAGCGAAUUAGAUUAUAACAUGUCAUCAAAAUUUUUUAAUGAAAAUGGUUUCAUUUUUAAUUAUGUGUCAUUGUUUGGUUCAUUAACUUGUAAAUUAUGCAUUGUUUGCAGACCAAAUAUAAAUCAACAUAUUAAUUCAAUUUUUUAGGAUUAGGUAAUUUAACAUCGGAUGUGAUUGUUAGAUAUAAAUAUCUCUUUAAUAUGGGUAUAUUCAAAAAAAAUUUAAAAAUUAGUUUUUUCACGUAUUUAAAGGUUCUUAAAGAAUCAUAUCUUAAUACUCAUAUACGAAUGUGCAUUAGAUAUAAGUACCGGAUACGAGUACUUAAAAAACAAUAUCAAUGCAACAUUUCUUUUAGAUAUUGAAUGUUUUUGUAUAUUUUGAAGCUCAUUUUUGUUUUGCUCAUGGAUAUUAGGGAAUCGAACAAGAUGAUCAAUUUAAGUGUGGAUACCUUCUUGAAGAUGAAAAAAUUGAGAUUGCUCAAAGUGCUUUGCCUUUUAAAUUGUGAUGAUCUCAAGUAUCUUUCUAAUGAACUACGACUUUUAGAUUGGACAGGAUACCCUUUAAGAUACUUGCCUUCAAGCUUUCAACCGGAUAACCUUGUCGCACUUCUUUUACCAUAUAGUCACGUUCAACAACUAUGGAAGGGAAAUAUAGUAAGAAUUAACUCAUCUUAUCCUUGUGUUUUAGCUUAUUUUAAUAUAAAUUAUUAAACUUUGAUUAAGGUAAAACAAAAAAACAAAAAUGAGCAUUAUUAUGUUUUCUCAUUUGUUUCUAAUUUAUUAUGGUCUUCAACAGCCCUUGUUUAACUUGAAAAUAAUGAACCUCAGAGGGUCUCAAAACCUGAUCAAGACACCAGACUUCACAACCGCAUCAAAUCUUGAAGUUUUGAUUUUGGAAGGUUGUACCAAAUUAGUGGAUGUUCAUCCAUCAAUCCGGGUGCUUAAGAGCCUUAAACUUUUGAAUUUAAGAGAUUGCAAAAGUCUUAGGACUCUUCCAACCAAAAUUGGAAUGGAAUCUCUUGAAACAUUAAUUCUUUCGGGUUGCUCAAGCCUUGUAAGGUUUCCAGAGAUUGAUAGAAAAAUGGAACGUCUAAAAACUCUAGAUCUUUCUGGUUGUUAUAGAGUUGAAAAUUUAUCAGAGAAUUUGCAGCAAGCAAAGUUACGACCAAAUUUGUCUUCUCUUUUCAAGGUAAUCGUAGGAAGAAGGAAGAAUCCCAUGCCUCGUAUGUUGCCUUCGCUGUUAGGUUUGAGUUCAUUAAGAGAGCUAAAACUAAGGGACUGCAAUCUUUGUGAAGGAGAUAUUCCACGAGAUAUUUCUGGUCUAUCCUCUUUGAGACGUCUUGAUCUUAGUGGUAAUAAUUUCAUCAGCAUACCUGCAUCUCUUACUCGACUCUCGAAGCUUUCGUCUCUUGAUUUGUCAAAUUGCAACAUGGGCACUCUUGGUGAAGCAGAAAUUCACGGUCUAUCCUCUUUGAAAUGUCUUCGUCUUUGUGGUAACAAUUUCAUCACCAUUCGUUUGGCUCUUACUCAACUUUCCAGGCUUGAAUCACUUGUAUUAUCAAAUUGCAUGAAGCUUAAAUUGUUGUCUGAGCUACCGAUUAGUUUAGCAUGUGUGAUUAUAGAUGGUUGUUCUUCACUUGAAGUAGUUACAAGUCUAUCAAAAAUAUGCAAUUCAGUUAUAGCCAUUAACUGCUUCAAACUGGCUGCGAAUAUCAAUGCAAUAACACUGCUGAAAAAAUAUCUUAAGGUCGAUUAAUCUCUUAUCUCUUAUUUCUCCCUUACAAAAUCCCAUACUUGAGAAUUUACAGUUUUAGUUACCAAACGACUUGUGUUUUGUUUUGCAGGCGUUUGGAAAUUCUAGAAAAAUGUUUCAAGUAAUUAUCCCAGGAAGUGAAAUCCCAGAUUGGUUUAGCGAACAAAAAAGUGAGUCGAGUCUUCAAUUAAGGUACCCCUACCUAUCAACCUUCGAAAAGAUAGUCAAUGGGUUGGAGUUGCUUGUUGCUGCAUUUUCGUUAAUACUCAUGUUUCAACGGAUGUCCAACAUAUCGUGUUCGGAGAAUCUAUUUUUCGAGGUAGAAUUCGUCAACAGAUUAAAUGGAGAGGCAAGUUGGCGGGUAAAGGAUAUAACCAGCCCAUAAUGAAAGAUCACCUUUUUCUUUGUUAUUGGUCGCGUGAUGUAUUAGAUGUAUUUGCCUAUAAAUAUGGUUACAGUGAAACCAAUAAUUUAUGGACAACAGAUUGCUCAGAUGAGGAAUGCAAUAUGUUUGAGGUGGCGUUCACAGCUCCAGCUGGAUACAAAGCUAAGGUGAAGAAGUGUGGUGUUAGAUUAGUGUAUGAAAAAGAUUUGAAAGAAAUAAAAGAGUUGCAGUGCCAUACCACUCAAUCUUCUCCAAAUUUUGAACACAUGCACCAAUACUCUCCUCACAAUGAUGGAACAGUAGGUAGCAUUCCUCACAUAAAACGAAAACGUAACAUCUACGAGGAAGUGGAGGAAGAAGUGCCACAACCAAAACGGAUGCAAAAUUUUUUCAAUUUUAUAAUGGACCAAUCCGGGAAGAAGCACUAACUGUGGUAAACUACUCAACCAAUCUUGUCCUAUUAGUUGGUUAUUUAUUUAUUUAUUUACAUAUCUACGUUGUUUACAUCUUUUGUUUCAUUCAUUCUAGAUUUAUUUGCGUAUGAGAUAUAAUCCUUCUUAUAUUCUAUACAUUUCUUAUAUGAAUGUUGAAAUGUGUAUUCUUUUUACAUAAUUGAAAUGUGUACAUUUUGAUUGGUAUUUUUUUUCUUAAAAUUUUAUUUUCAUUAUAUAUGUUAGACCUGUCCAUGGGCCGGGCGGCCCGGCCCGGCCCGAAAUAUGGGAGGGUUUGGGUAAAAAUAUAGGCCCGAAAUAUGGGCUUGGGCAAAAUUUUAGGCCCGUUUAAAAAAUGGGCCGGGCCUCAGGCAAGUUUUUUUGGCCCGGGCCUGGCCUGGCCCAGCCCGAAAAAUAUUAAAUAUAUUUUUUUUAUUUUUAAAAUAUAAUAGUUUUUUAUUUUAAGUUUAUUUACUUUCAUUUCCUUGACUAGUGUUACAAAAUAAUAAUAAUAAAACAUCAAGUUUGUUUUACUAAUCAAAUGUUAGAUUUUGUUACAACAAUUAAUACAAUUAAUACAAUUAAUAAUUUGAUAAAUUUACUAAUCAAAUGUUAGAUUUUAUUACAACAAUUAAUACAAUUAACAAUUAAUAAUUUGAUAAUUUUACUAACAAUUAAAUUUAAUAACAAUUAGUUUUAAUUUUAUUAAAAAAUAAUUUUAAUUUUAAUUUUAAUUAAAAACGGGACGGGCCGGGCUCGGGCCUCAUAUUUUUUCUUCUGGCCGGGCCUGGGCAAAAUCUCAAGCCCAUAUUUCGGGCCCGGGCCUAAUAAAUGGGCUGAAAUUUUUGUGGGCCCGGCCCGAACCCGGCCCGGCCAGGCCCAUGGACAGGUCAAAUAUAUGUACACUUACAUUUAUAUUUUAUUUGUAACUUGAGACAGAAAUGUGGAGAAAAAUGGAUAGCUUUGGUAACAAAGCAGAUAAUAAUAACAUGAAAAUAUUUUAAUGAGGAUUAGAUCAUAAUUUCAGUUGAUUUAAAAAUCAUUUCAUUUUUAUUUGUGAUCAACUUAUAUGUUCAAUUUACUCAAUCAAAAUUGUUUUUAUAUAUUUGGAAGAUAAAAUAUAAGUCCUUACUAAUAUUUAAAUAGGUUUAAUUCCUUCUAAUAAAUAUACCAUUAAAAUUUUAAUCUAAAAUGAAAAUAAAAGAUAGGAGAACAUACAUGUACAUUUAUACACGAGUAUUAUCGAUCUUUUUUUUGUUAAAAAUGUCCAAUAAAAAACAAUGUCAAAAACCUUUAAUGCUUCAUAUUUCAAUGUUUACAUUUAUGAAAUUAAUCUACCAAUGCAUUACUUCUUCAAAAAAUGGUAUGAAUGUCCUUUAUAUUUUCGAUAACAAAAUAAAUUAUUACAAAUGUCUAUUCAAAUCUAAAGAAUUUCAUCAAUUAAAUGAAGACCUCAUUGUUAUCUAAAGUCAACUUAGCAAUAUAAUUAACUUCUAGAUUCCUUUCAUGUGAAAUAUAUUUAAAUUUUCAGUGACUAAUAUUGUCUAUCAAGUCUUGCUGAAUAUGUUGGACAAGUGCGGAGGAAGAUGUCUUUGAGAAGGAUUCUUGAAUAGCUUGAAUAGCUUCUUGACUCUACUUAUCCAAACCCUAAACAUAUUCAAUACAGCAUCACCUUUACCAAAUAAUUUUUUCUGAUCGUCUUAAAAGGAGAGCAAAAUAACUUGUGUCCGCGACAAAACUGACUAGAACCCUCAAUCUCUAUUGUAUUUCCUUUUUCUUGUGUGUGUAAUAAUGUCUUGUUUGAUCAUGCUUGUGUUGCUUUUCCUCCUGAACCUUGUAUCUUCAGAUAUCAAUCAGGGUCAGUUCUGUUUCGAUGGUUACUUGAAUGUUGAUGGAGUUGCAGGCGUAGAUUCAAGUGGGCUCUUUAAACUGACUAAUUUUACAAGGCAAACAGAAAGUCACAUCUUCUACAAGAAUCCAAUCCAAUUCAAGAACUCCACAAAUGGUAGUGUUUUCUCUUUUCCCGCCACAUCCAUUUUUGCAAUUGUAUUGAAUACCCUACUUUGUCUGGCCAUGGAUUAGCCUUUGUAGUCUCGCCUAACAAUGGAAUUCCUGGAGCUCUUCCCAGCCAGUAUCUUGGUCUUUUCAAUCAAUCAAACAACGGUAACAGAUCAAAUCAUAUUGUGGCGGUCGAGCUGGACAUAAUUAUGAGCAGCGAAUUCGAUGACAUAAACGACAACCAUGUUGGCAUCGAUAUCAAUGGCCUAAACUCAAUGGUAUCUUCUCCUGCAAGGUAUUUCACUGAUGAGGGAAAGUUCAUAAAUGUCAGCCUUAUAAGAGAGGAUCCACUGCAAAUUUGGGUUGAAUACAGUGGGACUAAAAAACGACUCCACUUUUAUCCUUGAAUCGGGAUUUGUCUCCAUAUAUUUAUGACUCUAUGUAUGUAGGUUUCUCAUCUUCCACAGGUUCUGUUUUAUCAUCACACUACAUAUUGGCAUGGAGUUUCAAGAUGAAUGGCUCAGCUGAGGAGCUAGACUUGUCUCACCUUCCAAAAGUUCCACGAUUUGUUAAUGAUAAUAAUCGAGGAAUCAAGCAAUUGAAGAAGAUUUUGGCUAUCGCCAUUUUUUUCACAGGUCUCACUUUAGUCCUCGUAUUGGUUUUCAGGUUUGUGUUGAUCUCAAGGAAGAAGAGAUUCAUGGAGAUUCUGGAGGAUUAGGAGGUUCAGUACGGGCCUCAUAGAUUCUCAUAUAAAGAUCUAUUCAAAGCAACAAAGGGGUUUAAAGAAAAGGAAGUUCUAGGGAGAGGUGGAUUUGGUAAGGUGCAUAAGGGUGUUUUACCAUCUUCCAACAUACAAAUUACCGUCAAAAGGAUCUCUCAUAAUUCAAGGCAAGGUAUGAGAGAAUUCGUGGCUGAGAUUGCAACCAUCGGUCGCCUCAGACAUCCGAAUUUGGUUAGACUUCUCGGUUAUUGCAGGCGCAAGCACGAGUUGCUUUUGGUUUAUGACUGCAUGCCUAAUGGAAGUCUUGACAAUUUUCUUUACCACCAACCUAAUAGGAGCCUUAAGUGGACACAAAGGUUUAAUAUCAUCAAGGACGUAGCGUCCGCGUUGUUCUAUCUGCACCAACAGUGGGUGCAAGUCAUCAUUCACAGAGAUAUCAAGCCUGCCAAUAUGCUGACAGUUACAUGAACGCCCGACUAGGAGAUUUCGGGCUGGCAAAAACUAUGCGACCUUGGAAAUGAUCCUCAAACCUCGCAUGUAAUAGGUGAUGGAUCCGUUCUUGACAUUUAUAGAAACUAGGCGAAACAAUAAAUUGAACCUUUUUAAAAAAUUAUAAAAUGUAAUAUAAUAAAAUAAAAUCAUAUACUAGUAAUUUCAUUAAAUAAUAUCUUUUAUGACAUUAAGCAAAUAAAAUAUUUUUCCAACAAAAUUAAAAAAAUUCUUCAAUCUACUCCUAUGUUAUCAACUACAAGAACACAAAAAAUCAUAAAUAAAAAAAUGGGCUCUACGAGCAUUCUGAGAUACAAAAUUAUUAAUGAUAACACCAACACCAAUGUUUUCCAAAAAAAUCAUUCUCGAUUGAUAAAAUUGCCAGACCAUUCAACCGUUCUUGUGACAUUGACGACCACAAGAUUCAUUUCUCUUAUAGACCCCUUUUCAACUAAAAUGUCUCUUGUUUUGUUAUCAAGACUAGCUCAAUUUCUAGGAUCAUAAAUAUCCAAAAAAGAAAUUAUUUGUUCUUCAACAAUGCUAAUAUUAGGAGGAAUUAUUUGUUCUUCAUUAAGAAUAAGAUUUUCAAUACCGGAUACAUUUAACACAUCAUUAGGUUCAUUUGGGUCAUUAAUUUCAUCAUUCUCAUUGAUAUCAUUAUGCAAACUUUCAUUUAAUUGAUCCUAUUUUUCAUUAAAAAUUACUUUAAAAAAUUAUCAAUAGCAUAUUGUUGUGAUUAUUUUAACUCUUUAGCAUGUUUUCUCUUUUUACUUUUUUCACUUUCAGAUAAAUAAUUUUUAGGCAACAUUAUAUAUAAAAGAUAAAUUAGAUACUCAAGUAACACAAGAAAAUAAAACAAUAGUACUUGAUAGAAGAAUUUCAAGUUGAAUAUUUACUUUUACAUUUGUUAAUUUCAAAAGUCAAAUUGAGCCACUAAAAUUCUAUAAAUAUAAUUAUAAAAAUCAAUUACAAAUAAACACUGUAAUUAACAAUAUCCAAUUAUUUGUGAGGAAAAUACAACUUAAAAAUUAAAUGAGUAGCAAAAACAAUUAAAAUUUCAAUUGUAUAAAGGCAUAAAGAAAAGGUAUGUAGUAGUAUGUUGUACUAUGAUUAAUCAAAGAAUGAAUUAGGGGGAGAAACUAAAUAUAAUGAUGAAUUAAUGACUUUAUUAGUUAAAAUCCAAAAAUGUCAUCAAAUUAAGAAUGAAAAGGUUACAAGAAAGAAGAGAAAGGAGGUAAAAUUAUACCUACAACAAUGGUAGAUUCGACAAACCGCGGAUGAGAGGUUCUAAAUCUUUCAAAUAUAAAAUAAAAAUUAAUAACUUUAAUUUAUUAAUGCUAAUGACGGAUGAAUGAUAUAUUACUCAAAUCAAAUUUGGUCCUAUUUAAUUUGUAGAAAAUUUCUCCCACUGCCAUGGUUAUGAGAAAAUAAAUAAGGUUGAAUGCUAGUAACGAUUGAUUUUUUUGAGAAAAAUUAAAAUUAUUUUUUAACUUUAAAGAUAGGAGUUGAAAUUUGAGAAUUAGAAGAGGUUUGGAGAAGCAAAUGAGUUGAUGAUGAAAUAAGGUUGAUUGGUGGGGCUAUAUUUUGUUGACAGGUAGGAAUCAGACCAUAACGAAAGAUCACCUUUUUCUUCGUUAUUGGUCGCGUGAUAAAUUAUUUCCAUUUUCAUUGGAGGAUAAAUAUGGUGACUGUGAGCUUGAGGUGUCUUUCUUACAUCCAUGUAAACCCAAUGCUAAGGUGAAGUGUGGUGUCAGAAUAAUGUAUGAGAAAGAUUUGGAAGAAAUAAAAGAGUUGCAGUGCCAUACCACUCUAUCUUCUCUAAAUUUCGAACACAUCCACCAACACUCUGCUCACAACCAUAGAUCAGUAGGUAGCACUUCCCACAUCAAACAGAAAAUGUAACAUCUACGAGGAAGCAGAGGAAGAAGGGCCGCAACCAAAAUGGAUGCAAAAAUAUUUCAAUUUUAUGAUGGACCAAUCGGGGAAGAAGCAUUGAUUGUGGUAAAGUACUUAACCAACCAUGUACUAUUACUUCUAUUUCAUUUGAAAUAAUCAUUUUAAAUUUAUUUAAGUAUAAGAUAUGAUCUUUUUAAUAUAUAUUAAAAAAAUAUAAAAUUUUUAGCCGUACAAUAGUAUUGAAUAUGUACAUAUCUCAAAUGUUGAUAAUAUAAUUUUUUAUACCAUUUAAAAUUUGUCACUUAAUUUACAAUUUUUUACUAUUUAAAAUUUUAGUCGUUCAAUUCAUUCCUUUUUACAUGAUUGAAAUGUGUACAUUUUAACUAGUUUUAUUUAUUUAUUAAAAUUUUGUCUUCAUUAUAUAUAUUCACUUACAUUUAUAUUUUAUUUGUAGGUUGAAGUAAAUAUAAUCAAUUUGAGAUAGAGAGAUGUGAAGAAAAAUGGAUCGUUUCAUGACAAUGCAUGUAAUAAUAAAGUUAAAAAUCCUUUAAUGAGAAUAAGAUCAUAAUUUAUGCUGAGUUAAAAACUAUUUCAUUUUUGUUUUGAGACUAAUUUAUGUGUUCAAUUUAAUCAAUCAAAAUUAUUUUUAUAUAUUUGGAAUAUUAAAUAUAAGUCAUUUACAAUACUCAAAUAGGUUUAAUUUCUUAUAAUAAAAGUAUCAUUUAAAUUUCAUGGCUUGAAGUACAAAUAAUAUUAUUCUAACUCUUUCUUUUAUAAAGUAUAUUUUAUGUUUAGACAUUUAUUUUUAACACUUAUUCAAAUAUGAAUAUAAAGAGUAUGCUCCUUUAAUUAAUUGGAAGAUCUUUUUCGUGUGAGACACGUCACAUUCAUAUCUAAUAUUUUAAAAAAAUUUAAAAGAUUCAUUUUUUGUUCAUUCUAAUAUUAGGGUUUAGAGAUAUGAUUUUGGUUGACAUGAGCAAGAUUUUCAACGGUUGUGUUUUUUAUGAUAUCAAGAAAAAUUUCUCAAUUUGAGAUAAGUUAAUAUAUGAGCGAUAUAGAUUAAUCUUUUUUCGUGAUAUCAACAAUAAAUUUUUAAUAUUAUUUUUAAUACUAUAAAAAUAUUGAAGGGUCCUACUUAUAUUUUUAGGAGAGUUAUAAUAUAUACAAAGGAGGAAAUUACAAAAAUUUUAAGCCUUAGGGGGCCUACUUAUAUUUUUGGGAGGGUCAUAUUAUAUUUACAAAGGACAAAAUUACAAAAAAAUUAAAUUUUGAAGGGCUAUGGCCCAUGGGCCUCUACAUGGCUCCGUCGUUGCAUCAAUGCAAAAUCGAGAAAGAAAUGAAUAAGACGAUCUUCUAACUCCCUACCCCAAGCCCUAAUAUAAGCAAGGGGGAAGUCAGGAAAUUUUUGAGAGGGAUCGAAAUUAAAUUGUAUUUUUUAUGAUAGUAAAAUUGCAAUUUUACCAUUUUAAUAGUUAUAUAUUUAUAAUUUUUAAAGGAUUAAAACAAAUUUUUAUCAUUUUUAGGGGAGCCAAAGUAUAAUUUUAUCAUUACAAAUUUAAAAUUUUAAGGGCCCUAAAAGGAAAAUUUCCAUUUUAGUCCUCAUCCAUUCUGUAAGUUGAUCUUAUUUAACCAUCAAAUUUUAUAAAAAAAUUUAUUUUAGUCAUUUAUUUAAUUUUUUUAUCUUUUUAGCUUUUUAACUUGUGUUUUCUAUCAAAUCACCCUAAAAUUUGAUGAAUAAGUUAAAUUUUUUAACUUUACUGAUAUAGCAUACAUGUAUAUUGCCACAUGGAUGACAUAUCAUCAUUUAAUUUAUUUUUUAAAAUUUCAAAAAAUAAAAAAUAUAUUUUUAAAAAUUAAAAUAUUAAAAAUUUAAAAAAUAUUUUUAAAAUUUAAAAUAUUAAUUAAAUACUAACAUGUUAUCUGUAUGGUAAUCCGUAAAGUGAAUAAACAUUAAUUUUUUUAUCUAUUUUAAUGAGACCGAAAAUUCAUUUUUUUUCUUUUUAAAAUUACAUGACCGAAAAUUCAUUAUGACUUAUUUAUAUUCAGCGGAAGAAAAUUAAUUUGGGUUUGUGAUAAGAAAAAUAAUUGGUGAAGCCGUGAAGGUGACAUCAUUCAUUACACAACUCCUUUUUCCUUCAAUGGGAACGUUUUGUUGCGGCCAUAAUUCAUUGUCGGUGGUAGAGGUGUUGAUGGUGGAGUGGUCAUUCGAAACCAUUGCCUAAUUGUGACUAAUUAGGUAAGGAAUUCACUCAAAGUAAUUAUUCUAGGGUCCAUUUUAUCAACACCCACCUUCUUGGAUUCACAUGCAUCACUCAUUUAUGACCCCCCAAUUACCACAACUACUCGCGUUCAUUUGGAAAAUGAAAAGGUUAUAGAAAAAUUGCUUAGAAACCACCUUCAUUCUUCCCUGGAAAUUUGAUCUGUUUCUACUUUCUUUCAGCCGUAUUGAGCGAUCAGUUUUCUGAUUUUCAACACUACAUCCACAUAUAUAUUUUUUUCUCGCACAUUGUCAUGUCGUCAUUACCUUCAACUUCUUCGUCCAAUUCAAGAAAGAAAUAUGAUGUUUUCUUGAGUUUUAGAGGUGAAGAUACCCGCAACAACUUUACCGAUCAUCUCUAUGAUGCUUUAAGUAGGAGUGGGAUCGUCACUUUCAGGGAUGAUCCAAAGCUGGAGGCCGGCGAAGAGAUCUCGCCAGAACUCUUUACAGCAAUUCAGCAGUCAUGGUGUUCGGUAAUCGUUUUUUCACAAACUUAUGCCUUUUCAAGUUGGUGCUUGGAGGAGCUUGCUGAGAUUGUUAAACAACAUAACAACGACGGCCAUAAAGUGUUUCCAAUUUUUUACGAUGUUGAUCCAUCUGAUUUAAGAAGACAAAAAGAGAAAGUGGAAGAAGCCUUCGCUAAACAUGAAAAGAGAUACAGAGAAGAUAGUGAGAAGAUCCAAAGGUGGCGAAAUGCUUUAAUUCAAGUGGCUGGAAUCAAGGGAUGGCAUUUAAAUAACAGGUAACUCUUUCUUUUCUUCUCUAUUUUCUAUUUUGGGAUAUAUAUGUAUAACUUUGUUUUUUCUUUCUAAUCCUAUGUGUUUAAUUGAAAAGUGUCUUGGUUGUUGUUUGCUUCGAAACUAUAGUAUGUUUCACGAUUCAUUGAAAAAGAAAGUGCAUUUGAUAAUAUGAAACAAAAAUUAUUCAAAAAAUUAAAAUUUCAUUUCUUGUAGGCAUGAAUCAGAAUUUAUUAGAGAGAUUAUUAAGAAGAUAUCAGCAAAACUAUGUCACCCAGUUACUCAUAGUGACUUGGUUGGAAUGACUGAACGCUUGGAGGAUUUAUAUUUGAAAAUAAACAUUGGGGAAAAUGAUGUCCGCAUUAUAGGGAUUUGCGGAAUGGGUGGUAUCGGUAAAACAACACUCGCAAGACUUGCUUAUAAUCAAAUGUCACAUCAUUUUGAAAGUAAAAGCUUUAUUGCUGAUAUUCGAGAAGUUUCAGACAAAUGUGGAUUAGUUUCUUUACAGAAACAGCUUCUUUCGGAGAUUUUUCAUGAUGAAUGCUUCGAAUUUUUCAAUGUUCAUGAAGGGAAUGAUAUAAUUAGUCAUAUGUUGUCUCGCAAAAAGGUUCUUGUUGUUCUUGAUGAUGUUGAUAACAUUCAACACUUAAAAUGCUUGGUUGGAGGGCAUGAUUGGUUCGGAUUAGGGAGUAGAAUCAUUGUAACAACAAGAGACGAACAUUUGCUUCAAUCUUGCCAAGUUGACGAUGUGUAUAUACCCACAACAUUGAAUACCACAGAUGCGAUUCAACUUUUCAAUUUGAAAACUUUCCGUAGUGAUACAGUGCCGAAAGAUGAUUUUAUUGAGCUUUCUUACCAUGUUGUAAGUUAUGCUGGUGGGCUCCCGUUAGCUCUUGAAGUUUUAGGUUCCUUUUUGUGCGGUAGAGAUGCUGCUCAAUGGAGAAGUGCGAUUGAAAGACUUAAAAGAGAUUCUAAUAAAGAAAUUCUUAAUAAACUUCGGAUCAGUUUUGAUGGAUUGGAAGAAAGAGAGAAAAAUAUAUUUCUAGAUAUAGCAUGCUUCUUCAACGGGGAGAAGAAAGAUUUUGUAAUGAAAGUAUUGGAUGGUUGUGAGUUUUUCCCCGAUAUUGGAAUUGAUGUUCUCAUUAAGAAAUCUUUAAUAAAAGUCGAUGAUGGCAACCAAUAUUUGUGGAUGCAUGACUUGUUGCAAGAAAUGGGAAGAAAAAUUGUUAGAGAAAAAUCUAUUGAUGAACCUGGAAAAUGUUGCAGAUUGUGGGAGGAAACAGAUGUCCAUCAUAUCCUAACAAAAAACACGGUAAGUUACUCAACAAAAGUUACAUACUAUUUUUUUUUAUAGAAUAUCUAAUAAUAUAUGAUAUAAAUUCAAAGCUUAGUAUAAUUGGUUGAUACAACAUCCAUAAAAAGUGUUAUUUGGUACUUUUGAGAUAAAUUAUGUUUGAUGUUUACAAAUGUUAACAAAAAUUUAUAGAAAAAAAAUUUAAUUUCAUUGCAUUACCCUCAUUAGAAACUGUUUUACUUUGUUUAAAAUGCUUUAUUUAUUAUAUUUCGAGCAUAAUAAUGCUAGAAGUUUAAUUUUACAUUAUACACCAUUUAUUUUAUUUUCUUAUUUUCAAUUCUAAAUUUUUUUAGGCCACAGAAAUGAUUGAAGGCAUAUUCAUCAAUAAUAAAAGGUAAGAAAGUGCAUAUAAGUUUAUAUCUUUGUGUAUUAUAAAUGAUGAUUUUAUUUAUUUUAAAUGUGAUAAGAAACUAUAGCAAAACCUUUGACAUUCAAUAUUUUCAAUGUUUAAUUAUGAAAUUUAUCUAGCACAUAUUACUCUUUUAAAAGAAUCAAUAUUGAAAUGUGUAUAUCUUUGUGAAAUAUUAUGGUAUAUAUUUAAUGCACUAAUAGUGUAUACACCAAUGAAUUAGAUUGUAACAUGUCAUCCAAAUUUUUUUUAAAAUGAAUAUGGUUUUAUUUUUAAUUAUGUAUCAUUGAACCAUAUAGAAUUAUGCAUUGUUGGCUGACCAAAUAUAAAUCAAAAUAUUAAUUCACAUUUUUUAGGGUUUGGUAAUAUAACGUCAGAUGUGUGGUUGUUAGAUAUGUGUAUAUCUUCAGUAUUGGUACAUUCAAUUUUUUAAAGAAUUUUUUCAUGGAUUUAAAGAGUUCUUAAAGGAUCUUAAUAUCGAUAUUCGGAUAUGCAUUAGAUAAAAGUAUAGGAUACGGGUACAUAAAAAAACGACAUCGAUACAACAUAGCUCUUAGAUAUUGAAUGUUUUAAUUUCUAUACUCUUAAGCUCAUUUUUGUUUUCCUCAUGGAUAAAAGUAUUGGAUACAGGUACUUAAAAACAAUAUCAAUGCCACAUAGCUUUUAGAUAUUGAAUGUUUUUGUAUAUUCUAAAGCUCGUUUUUAUUUUGUUCAUGGCUAUUAGGGAAUCAAGCAAGGUGCUCAGCUUGAGUGUCAAUGCCUUCUCAAAGAUGAAAAAAUUGAGAUUGCUCAAAGUGCUUUGCCUCUCAAAUUGUGAUGAUCUCAAAUAUCUUUCUAAUGAACUACGACUUUUAGAUUGGAAAGGAUGCCCUUUACGAUCGUUGCCCUCAAGCUUCCAACCAGACAACCUUGUCGCACUUCUUUUACCAUAUAGUAACAUUAAACAACUAUGGAAGGAAAAUAGAGUAAGAAUUAACUCAUUUGGUCAUUGUGUUUUAGCUUAUUAUAAUAUAAAUGAUUAAAUUUUGAUUAAGAUAAAAAAUAAAAAUGAGCAUUAUUAUAUUAUCUCAUUUGUUUCUAAUUUAUUAUGGUCUUCAACAGCCCUUGUAUAAGUUGAAAAUGAUGAACCUUGAAGGGUCCCAAAACCUGAUCAAGACACCAGACUUCACAACAGCACCAAAACUUGAAGCUUUGAUCAUGAAAGGUUGCACCAAAUUAGUGGAUUUUCAUCCAUCAAUUGGAAUGCUUAAGAGCCUUAAACUUUUGAAUUUAAGAGAUUGCAAAAGUCUUAGGACUCUUCCGACGAUAAUUGGAAUGGAAUCUCUUGAAACAUUAAUUCUUUCGGAUUGCUCAAGUCUUGUAAGGUUUCCAGAGAUUGAUGGGAAAAUGGAACGUCUAAAAACUCUAGAUCUUUCUGGUUGUUAUAGAGUUGAAAAUUUAUCGGAGAAUUUGCUGCAAGCAAAGUUUUUGGAAGAGCUCGACUUGAGUGAAACAGCCAUAACAGAACCACCAUCCUUCAUUUUUCAAUUUAAAAAUCUUAAAGUUCUGUCUUUCAAUGGGUGCAAGGGACCAUCAUAUAAGUUACGACUAAAUUUGCCUUCUCUUUUCAAGGUAAUCCAAGGCAGAAGGACGAAUCCCAUGGCUCGGAUGUUACCUUCAUUGUCAGGUUUGAGUUCAUUAAGAGAGUUGAAUCUAAGGGACUGCAAUCUUUGUGAAGGAGAUCUUCCACGUGAUAUUUCUGGUCUAUCUUCUUUGAUACAUCUUGAUCUUAGUGGUAACAAUUUCAUCAGCAUACCUGUAUCUUUUACUCGACUCUCAAAGCUUAAAUUGCUUGCAUUAUCAGACUGCUUGAAUCUUAAAUCGUUGCCUGAACUUCUAAAAAGUAUAAAAACGGUGUGGAUAGAUGGUUGUGCUUCACUUGAAGUAGUUGCAAGUCCAUCAAAAGUAAGCAAUUUAGUGGAUUCGGCUGCCGUUAGCGCCAUUAACUGCUUCAAAUUGUCUGAGAAUAUCUAUGCAUUAACACUGCUGAAAACACAUCUUAAGGUCGAUUAAUCUCCUUAUUUUCCCUUACAAAAUCUCAUACCAGAGAAUUUAUGGUUUUAGUUACCAAACGACUUGUGUUUUAUUUUGCAGGCAUUUGCAAAUUCAAGGAAAAGGUUUGAUAUUACUAUGCCUGGAAGUGAAAUCCCAGAAUGGUUUGAUAUUAUUAUGCCCGGAAGUGGAAUCUCAGAAUGGUUUAGCCAACAAAAAAGCGACUCUUCAAUUGAUUCUAUUAAGAUACUCCUACCUAUCAACCUUCGGAAAGAUAGUGAAUGGAUUGGAGUUGCUUGUUGCUGCAUUUUUGUUAAUAAUGAUGCUUCAACGGAUGACGAGCUUCUCAAUUGUAGAGCAUCUGUCAAUUGUGGAGAGAUUAGUCGGAAACGCUGGAAUAUGGGUAAACGAUUUAACGAGCCCAUAAUGAAAGAUCACCUUUUUCUUCGUUAUUGGUCGCGUGAUAAACUAUAUCCAUUUUCAUUUGAGGAUGAAUAUGGUGACUUUGAAACCAAUCAUUUAUGCGAUGAUGAGCUUGAGGUGUCUUUCAGUGGAAGCAGUGCUAAGGUGAAGAAGUGUGCUUUUAGAAUAGUGUAUAAGAAAGAUUUGGAAGAAAUAAAUGAGUUGCAGUGCCAUAGCACUCAAUCUUCUCCAAAAUUUGAACACAUCCACCAACACUCUGCUCGCAACGAUGGAUCAAUAGGUAGCAUUUCCUACACAAAACGAAAACGUAAUAUCUACGAGGAAGCGGAGGAAGAAAGGCCGCAACCAAAAUGGAUGCAAAAAAUUUUCAAUUUUAUAAUGGGCAAUUCGAAGAAGAAGCAUCAAUUGUUGUAAACUACUUAUCUCACCUUGUCCUAUUACCUUUUUUUUUACACAUUUACGUUUUUCCAUCUUUUAUUUCAUUUAAAAUAAUCAUUCUAGACUUAUUUGGAUAUGAGAUAUGAUUCUUCUAUUAUAUAUCUUUUAUUCUUACUCAUAUUUUGUACAUAUCCCAAAUGCUUCGGUGACAAAAAGUAAUAAUAAGGUGAAAAUCCUUUAAUGAGGAUUGAAUUAUAAUUUGGGCCACCUUAAAAAUCAUUCCAUUUUUAUUUAAGAUCAACUUAUGUGUUUAAUUUAAUUAGUCAAUUUAUAUAUAUAUAUUUGAAAGAUUAAAUAUAGUCCUUAAUAGUAUUUAAAUAGGUUUAAUUCCUUCUAAUAAAAGUACCACUUAAAUUUCGUGAUUUGAUUUACAAAUAAUAUUAUUUCAACUCUUCGAUAUAUAAUUUUUAUUAAGUAUUUAUGAUUUUUGGUCGACAUGAUUGUGUUUCCUAUAUCAAUAAAAAUUCCUCAAUUUGAGAUAAUUAAGUUAAUAUGCUAGUGAUAUAAAUGAUCUAAAUGCAACCAAAAUAAUCUUGGUGUUUUAUGUUUGUCCCUAGACCAAUAGAAGCAUGGCAGGCUCAAAGGAUCAUACAAGUGAGGGGCCAACAGAAGUCAGGUUGAAAUGGAAGUGGAUACUUUAGCAUUUAUAGGCUCAAUGAAUUAAUUAGGGAAUUAGGAUUUCGAGAAAUAGAUUAUGAUAUUAUAUAAUUAGUUGCUUUUUACAUGUAGUGUAAUGUAAUGCAAGUUAUACUAUUUUAAACCAACUUUUUGAAUUUGUUGUUUGUAAAAUGUAAUUCAAAUAGUAAUUUAAUUGUAAGGUCAAUAAUACCUUUUGAAUUAAGUGGUGUAGUCGUAAACUAAUUAAUUGAGAACAAAAUUUAAGUAUUUAUUGCAUAAAACAGAAAUUAAAAGAUAGAAUUCAUCAUAAGGUUCAUCUCCCCUAGGUAUUUAGAAAAUUAGUUCAUAAUUGCAAAUAAAAACAUUCAAAAGAUAGUAUAACCACAAGAAACAAAGAAACUCAUAAUAAACUUCAAAGAAAUCAAAAAUUUUAAUAGUUUAUAUAUUUAUAAUUUUUAUCAUUUUAAUAGUUUAUAUAUUUAUAAUUUUUAAAAGAUUAAAUUAAAAUUUUAUUAUUUUUAAGGGAGCCAAAGUGUAAUUUUAUCAUUACAAAUUUAAAAUUUUAAGGGCCCUAAAAGGAAAAUUUCCAUUUUAAGGGGUCGGUGCCAUCUAAAAAGAAAAGAGAAUAUAAAUAAAAAAUAAAAAACAAAAAACCAUUCACGGCUUAGUCCUCAUCAUUCUGUAAGACCUCCAGGUCGAAUGAUUUAUUUAAGCAUCAAAUUUUAUUAAAAAAUUAUUUUAGUCAUUUAUUUAAUUUUUUUUAUAUUUUUAGUUUUUUAAUUUGUAUUUUUUAUCAAAUCACCCCAAAAUUUGAUGAAAAAGUUAAUUUUUUAAUUUACUGAUAUAACAUACAUGUAUAUUACCAUAUGAAUGACAUAUCUUCAUUUAAUUAAUUUUUUAAAAUUUAAAAAAAUUAAUUAAAUACUAACAUGUCAUCCGCGUGGUAAUUCACGAGUAUACCAUAUCAAUAAAGAGAAUAAAUAUUAAUUUUUUAUUUAUUUUAAAGUAAUUUCACAAAAAAUUCAAAUUCCAGAGUUAUAGAGAAAGCAAGUAAAGCACACACUUAAGAACAGUUGCAAUUAUUGUAGGCUCCAUUUUAUCAACACCCACCUUGUUGGAUUCAUAUGCAUCACUCAUUUAUGGCCCCCCACUUUCCACAACUACGCGCAUUCAUUUGGAAAGUGAAAAGGUUAUAGAGAAAUUGCUUAGAAACCACCUUUAUUCUUCCCUGGAAAUUUGAUCUGAUUCUAGUUUCUUUCAGACGUAUUGAGCUAUCAGUUUUCUGAUUUUCAACACUACAUCCACAUUUUUUUUUCUCUCACAUCGUCAUGUCGUCAUUACCUUCAACUUCUUCGUCCAAUUCUAGAAAGAAAUAUGAUGUUUUCUUGAGUUUUAGAGGUGAAGAUACCCGCACCAACUUUACCGAUCAUCUCUAUGAUGCUUUAAGUAGGAGUGGGAUCGUCACUUUCAGGGAUGAUCCAAAGCUGGAGGCCGGUGAAGAGAUCGCGCCAGAACUCUUUACAGCAAUUCAGCAAUCAUGGUGUUCGGUAAUCGUUUUUUCACAAACUUAUGCCUUUUCAAGUUGGUGCUUGGAGGAGCUUGCUGAGAUUGUUAAACAACAUAACAACGACGGCCAUAAGGUGUUUCCAAUUUUUUACGAUGUUGAUCCAUCUGAUUUAAGAAAACAAAAAGAGAAAGUGGAAGAAGCCUUUGCUAGACAUGAAGAGAGAUACAAAGAAGAUAGGGAGAAGAUCCAAAGGUGGCGAAAUGCUUUAAUUCAAGUGGCUGGAAUCAAGGGAUGGCAUUUAAAUAACAGGUAACUCUUUCUUUUCUUCUCUAUUUUCUAUUUUUUGGGAUAUAUAUGUAUAAACUUUUUUCUUUCUUUCUAAUCCUAUGUGUUUAAUUGAAAAGUGUCUUGGUUCUUGUUUGCUUCCAAACUAUAUAAUGUUUCAUGAUUCAUUGAAAAAGAAAGUGCAUUUGAUAAUAUGAAACAAAAAUUAUUCAAAAAAUUAAAAUUUCUUUUCUUGUAGGCAUGAAUCGGAAUUUAUUAGAGAGAUUAUUAAGAAUAUAUCAGCAAAACUAUGUCACCCAGUGACUCAUAGUGACUUGGUUGGAAUGACUGAACGCUUGGAGGAUUUAUAUUUGAAAAUAAACAUUGGGGAAAAUGAUGUCCGCAUUAUAGGGAUUUGCGGAAUGGGUGGUAUCGGUAAAACCACACUCGCAAGACUUGCUUAUAAUCAAAUGUCACAUCAUUUUGAAAGUAAAAGCUUUAUUGCUGAUGUUCGAGAAGUUUCAGACAAAUGUGGAUUAGUUUCUUUACAGAAACAACUUCUUUCGGAGAUUUUUCAUGAUGAAUGCUUCAAAUUUUUCAAUGUUCAUGAAGGGAACGAUAUAAUUAGUCAUAUGUUGUCUCGCAAAAAGGUUCUUGUUGUUCUUGAUGAUGUUGAUAACAUUCAACACUUAAAAUGCUUGGUUGGAAGGCAUGAUUGGUUCGGAUUAGGGAGUAGAAUCAUUGUAACAACAAGAGAAGAACAUUUGCUUCGAUCUUGGCCAGUUGAUGAUAUGUAUGAGCCCACAACAUUGAAUCCCAAAGAUGCUCUUCAACUUUUCAGUCUGAAAGCUUUUCAUGGUGAUACAGUGCCGAGAGAUGAUUUCAUUGAGCUUUCUUACCAUGUUGUAAAAUAUGCUGGUGGGCUCCCGUUAGCUCUUGAAAUUUUGGGUUGCUUUUUAUGCGGUAGAGAUGCUACUCAAUGGAGAAGUGCAAUUGAAAGACUUAAAAGAGAUUCUAAUAAAGAAAUUCUCGAUAAACUUCGAAUCAGUUUUGAUGGACUGGAAGAAAGGGAGAAGAAUAUAUUUCUAGAUAUAGCAUGCUUCUUCAAUGGGGAGGAGAAAGAUUUUGUAAUGAAAGUAUUGGAUGGUUGUGAGUUUUUCCCAGAUAUUGGCAUUGAUGCUCUCAUUAAAAAAUCUCUCAUAAAAGUCGAUGAACACAAAUAUUUGUGGAUGCAUAACUUGUUGCAAGAAAUGGGAAGAAAAAUUGUUAAAGAAAAAUGUGUUGAUGAACCUGGAAAACGUUGCAGAUUAUGGGAGGAAAGAGACGUCUAUCAUGUCCUAACAAAAAACACUGUAAGUCAUUUAACAAAAGUUACAUACUAUUUCUAUUUUGUUAUAUAAUAUCAAAUCAAUAUAUGAUAUAAACCCAAAGCUUAGUCUAAUUGGUUGAUACAACUAUUCUUAAAAAGUGAUCUUUAGUAAUUUUGAGAUUACAAAUAUUAAAAAGGAUUUGUAGAAAUAAAUAUUUAAUUUCAUUGCAUUGCCCUCUUUAGAGGAUAUAUAAUAUUUGUAGAAAUUGUUUUACUUCGUUUAAAAUGCUUUAUUUAUUAUAUUUAGAAUAUAAUAAUGCUAAAUAAAAAUGUAAGUUUUUAAAAGUUUUAUCCUACAUUAUACACCAUUUAUUUUGUUUUCUUAUUUUCUAUUCUUGAUUUUUCUUAGGGUACAAAAAUGAUUGAAGGUAUAAUCAUCAAUAAUAAAAGGUAAGAAGACACAUAAAACUUAUAUUUAUGUGUACUGUAAAUAAUUAUUUUGUUUUCUUAAAUAUGAUAAGAAAUUAUAGCAAAAUCUUUGAUACUCAAUAUUUCAAUGUUUAAUUAUGAAAUUUAUUUAGUAGCGUAUUACUCUUUCAAAAGAAUCAAUAGAGAAAUGUAUGUCUUUUUGAAAUAUUAAUAGUAUAUCAAUGAAUUAGAUUAUAACAUAACUUUUAGAUAUUGAAUGUUUUUGUAUAUUGUGAAGCUCAUUUUCAUUUUGUUUUAUUCAUGAUUAUUAGGGAAUCGAGCAAGAUGCUCAACUUGAGUGUCGAUGCCUUCUCAAAAAUGAAAAAGUUGAGAUUGCUCAAAGUGCUUUGCCUAUCAAAUUGUGAUGAUCUCAAAUUUCUUUCUAAUGAGCUACGGCUUUUAGAUUGGAAAGGAUACCCUUUAAGAUCGUUGCCUUCAAGCUUCCAACCGGACAACCUUGUUGCACUUCUGUUACCAUAUAGUCGCAUUCAACAACUAUGGAAGGGAAAUAGAGUAAGAAUUAACUCAUCUCAUCCUUGUAUUUUAGCUUAUUUUAAUAUAAAUGAUUAAACUUUGAUUAAGGUAAAAAGACAAAAAUAAGCAUUAUUAUGUUUUCUCAUUUGUUUCUAAUUUAUUGUGAUCUUCAACAGCCCUUGUGUAAGUUGAAAAUCAUGAACCUGGAAGGGUCCCAAAACCUGAUCAAGACACCAGACUUCACAACGGCAUCAAAUCUUGAAGUUCUAAUAUUGAAAGGUUGUACCAAAUUAGUGGAUGUUCAUCCAUCAAUCGCAGUACUUAAGAGCCUUAAAGUUUUGAAUUUAAGAGAUUGCAAAAGUCUUAGG